CCUGCUCCUAGAAGGGUUGCAAGUGUGGUUGCUAUGUCACACCUGCAUCAGUAGGUGGCAGAGGGGAGAGAGACAAAGGCUACCUUCAGAGUUCUGACCUAUGAUUAGUAGCCUAACACU
RNAcentral lists this small nucleolar RNA (120 nucleotides) under Mus pahari (shrew mouse). RNAcentral describes it as "snoRNA (MGP_PahariEiJ_G0034405.1)". It matches the Rfam family "Small nucleolar RNA SNORA17". From Rfam's summary of the family: snoRNA ACA 17 belongs to the H/ACA family of snoRNAs and is predicted to guide pseudouridylation of the 28S rRNA at positions U4659 and U4598. It shares the same host gene together with ACA43. The record is from RNAcentral. Lineage: Eukaryota; Metazoa; Chordata; Mammalia; Rodentia; Muridae.